GAUGAACGCUAGCGACAGGCUUAACACAUGCAAGUCGAGGGGCAGCAUGAUUUGUAGCAAUACAGAUUGAUGGCGACCGGCGCACGGGUGAGUAACACGUAUCCAACCUGCCGACAACACUGGGAUAGCCUUUCGAAAGAAAGAUUAAUACCGGAUGGCAUAGUUUCCCGCAUGGGAUAAUUAUUAAAGAAUUUCGGUUGUCGAUGGGGAUGCGUUCCAUUAGGCAGUUGGCGGGUAACGGCCCACCAAACCAACGAUGGAUAGGGGUUCUGAGAGGAAGGUCCCCCCACAUUGGAACUGAGACACGGUCCAAACUCCUACGGGAGGCAGCAGUGAGGAAUAUUGGUCAAUGGACGAGAGUCUGAACCAGCCAAGUAGCGUGAAGGAUGACUGCCCUAUGGGUUGUAAACUUCUUUUAUACGGGAAUAAGUUAGCCACGUGUGGUUUUUUAGUAUGUACCGUAUGAAUAAGGAUCGGCUAACUCCGUGCCAGCAGCCGCGGU
Molecule: ribosomal RNA, 502 nt
Filed under: uncultured bacterium
Lineage: Bacteria
Description: bacterial SSU rRNA
Rfam family: Bacterial small subunit ribosomal RNA
Source: RNAcentral